Non-coding RNA from Callithrix jacchus (white-tufted-ear marmoset), 167 nucleotides. The record is from RefSeq and is a predicted model, not a curated record. Lineage: Eukaryota; Metazoa; Chordata; Mammalia; Primates; Cebidae.
AUGAGGAACCACCUCCUCCUACUGUUCAAGUACAGGGGCCUGGUCCGCAAAGGGAAGAAAAGCAAAAGACGAAAAUGGCUAAAUUCGUGAUCCGCCCAGCCACUGCCGCCGACUGCAGUGACAUACUGCGGCUGAUCAAGGAGCUGGCUAAAUAUGAAUACAUGGAA